Molecule: transfer RNA, 74 nt
Filed under: Ruminococcus sp. AM58-7XD
Lineage: Bacteria; Bacillati; Bacillota; Clostridia; Eubacteriales; Oscillospiraceae
Description: tRNA-Met
Rfam family: tRNA
About the family: Transfer RNA (tRNA) molecules are approximately 80 nucleotides in length.
Source: RNAcentral
GGCGAGAUAGCUCAGUUGGCUAGAGCACAUGGUUCAUACCCGUGGUGUCGAGGGUUCGAAUCCCCCUCUCGCUA